UACGAAGGGGGCUAGCGUUGUUCGGAAUUACUGGGCGUAAAGGGCGCGUAGGCGGCGUGUCAAGUCAGGCGUGAAAGCCCCGGGCUCAACCUGGGAACCGCGCUUGAGACUGGCAUGCUCGAGUUCGGGAGAGGAUGGUGGAAUUCCCAGUGUAGAGGUGAAAUUCGUAGAUAUUGGGAAGAACACCGAUGGCGAAGGCGGCGACCUGGUCCGAUACUGACGCUGAGGCGCGAAAGCGUGGGGAGCAAACAGG
Molecule: ribosomal RNA, 253 nt
Filed under: uncultured bacterium
Lineage: Bacteria
Description: partial 16S ribosomal RNA
Rfam family: Bacterial small subunit ribosomal RNA
Source: RNAcentral